GUGGGUAGUUUGACUGGGGCGGUCUCCUCCUAAAGAGUAACGGAGGAGCACGAAGGUUGGCUAAUCCUGGUCGGACAUCAGGAGGUUAGUGCAAUGGCAUAAGCCAGCUUGACUGCGAGCGUGACGGCGCGAGCAGGUGCGAAAGCAGGUCAUAGUGAUCCGGUGGUUCUGAAUGGAAGGGCCAUCGCUCAACGGAUAAAAGGUACUCCGGGGAUAACAGGCUGAUACCGCCCAAGAGUUCAUAUCGACGGCGGUGUUUGGCACCUCGAUGUCGGCUCAUCACAUCCUGGGGCUGAAGUAGGUCCCAAGGGUAUGGCUGUUCGCCAUUUAAAGUGGUACGCGAGCUGGGUUUAGAACGUCGUGAGACAGUUCGGUCCCUAUCUGCCGUGGGCGCUGGAGAACUGAGGGGGGCUGCUCCUAGUACGAGAGGACCGGAGUGGACGCAUCACUGGUGUUCGGGUUGUCAUGCCAAUGGCACUGCCCGGUAGCUAAAUGCGGAAGAGAUAAGUGCUGAAAGCAUCUAAGCACGAAACUUGCCCCGAGAUGAGUUCUCCCUGAGACUUAAAGUCUCCUGAAGGAACGUUGAAGACGACGACGUUGAUAGGCCGGGUGUGUAAGCGCAGCGAUGCGUUGAGCUAACCGGUACUAAUGAACCGUGAGGCUUAACCCUACAA
This 674-nucleotide ribosomal RNA is filed under the name Salmonella enterica. RNAcentral describes it as "partial 23S ribosomal RNA". It matches the Rfam family "Bacterial large subunit ribosomal RNA", at positions 2261 to 2925 of the family's 2925-position model. The record is from RNAcentral. Lineage: Bacteria; Pseudomonadati; Pseudomonadota; Gammaproteobacteria; Enterobacterales; Enterobacteriaceae. RNAcentral also lists the same sequence under 1 other name.